UUGAACGCUGGCGGCAUGCCUAACACAUGCAAGUCGAACGGAGGUAGGGGCAACUCUACUUCAGUGGCGGACGGGUGAGGAAUGCGUCGGAAUCUACCCUAUGGUGGGGGAUAACACAGGGAAACUUGUGCUAAUACCGCAUAAUGUCGAGAGACCAAAGCAGGGGACCGCAAGGCCUUGCGCGAUAGGAUGAGCCGACGCCCGAUUAGCUAGUUGGUAGGGUAAAGGCCUACCAAGGCGACGAUCGGUAGCUGGUCUGAGAGGAUGAUCAGCCACACUGGGACUGAGACACGGCCCAGACUCCUACGGGAGGCAGCAGUGGGGAAUAUUGGACAAUGGGCGCAAGCCUGAUCCAGCAAUGCCGCGUGUGUGAAGAAGGCCUGCGGGUUGUAAAGCACUUUUGUUCGGGAAGAAAUCAUGCUGGUUAAUACCUGGUAUGGAUGACGGUACCGAAAGAAUAAGCACCGGCUAACUUCGU
This 478-nucleotide ribosomal RNA is filed under the name uncultured bacterium. RNAcentral describes it as "bacterial SSU rRNA". It matches the Rfam family "Bacterial small subunit ribosomal RNA", at positions 30 to 506 of the family's 1533-position model. The record is from RNAcentral.